RNAcentral lists this ribosomal RNA (119 nucleotides) under Opisthorchis viverrini. The record is from RNAcentral. Lineage: Eukaryota; Metazoa; Platyhelminthes; Trematoda; Opisthorchiida; Opisthorchiidae.
GACCCUGACCGUACCAUGUGGGAAACACCGGUUCUAGUCUGAUCACCGAAGUUAAGCAAUGAAGGGGCCGGUUAGUACAUGCACGGGUGACCGGUUGGGAAUACCGGGUGUCGGCGCCU